GGCUGAGCUGUGAUGGGGAAGCUCCUUAUGGAGCGAAGUCUUUGAUUCCCCGCUGCCAAGAAAAGCUUCUAGCGAGAUAAAAGGUGCCUGUACCGCAAACCGACACAGGUAGGCGAGGAGAGAAUCCUAAGGUGUGCGAGAGAACUCUGGUUAAGGAACUCGGCAAAAUGACCCCGUAACUUCGGGAGAAGGGGUGCUUUCUUAACGGAAAGCCGCAGUGAAUAGGCCCAAGCGACUGUUUAGCAAAAACACAGCUCUCUGCGAAGCCGUAAGGCGAAGUAUAGGGGGUGACACCUGCCCGGUGCUGGAAGGUUAAGGAGAGGGGUUAGCGUAAGCGAAGCUCUGAACUGAAGCCCCAGUAAACGGCGGCCGUAACUAUAACGGUCCUAAGGUAGCGAAAUUCCUUGUCGGGUAAGUUCCGACCCGCACGAAAGGUGUAACGAUUUGGGCACUGUCUCAACCAGAGACUCGGUGAAAUUAUAGUACCUGUGAAGAUGCAGGUUACCCGCGACAGGACGGAAAGACCCCGUGGAGCUUUACUGUAGCCUGAUAUUGAAUUUUGGUACAGUUUGUACAGGAUAGGCGGGAGCCAUUGAAACCGGAGCGCUAGCUUCGGUGGAGGCGCUGGUGGGAUACCGCCCUGACUGUAUUGAAAUUCUAACCUACGGGUCUUAUCGACCCGGGAGACAGUGUCAGGUGGGCAGUUUGACUGGGGCGGUCGCCUCCUAAAGUGUAACGGAGGCGCCCAAAGGUUCCCUCAGAAUGGUUGGAAAUCAUUCGUAGAGUGCAAAGGCAUAAGGGAGCUUGACUGCGAGACCUACAAGUCGAGCAGGGACGAAAGUCGGGCUUAGUGAUCCGGUGGUUCCGCAUGGAAGGGCCAUCGCUCAACGGAUAAAAGCUACCCCGGGGAUAACAGGCUUAUCUCCCCCAAGAGUCCACAUCGACGGGGAGGUUUGGCACCUCGAUGUCGGCUCAUCGCAUCCUGGGGCUGUAGUCGGUCCCAAGGGUUGGGCUGUUCGCCCAUUAAAGCGGUACGCGAGCUGGGUUCAGAACGUCGUGAGACAGUUCGGUCCCUAUCCGUCGUGGGCGUAGGAAAUUUGAGAGGAGCUGUCCUUAGUACGAGAGGACCGGGAUGGACGCACCGCUGGUGUACCAGUUGUUCUGCCAAGGGCAUAGCUGGGUAGCUAUGUGCGGAAGGGAUAAGUGCUGAAAGCAUCUAAGCAUGAAGCCCCCCUCAAGAUGAGAUUUCCCAUAGCGUAAGCUAGUAAGAUCCCUGAAAGAUGAUCAGGUUGAUAGGUUCGAGGUGGAAGCAUGGUGACAUGUGGAGCUGACGAAUACUAAUAGAUCGAGGACUUAACC
This 1359-nucleotide ribosomal RNA is filed under the name Bacillus cereus Rock4-2. RNAcentral's name for it is "bacterial LSU rRNA". It matches the Rfam family "Bacterial large subunit ribosomal RNA", at positions 1554 to 2925 of the family's 2925-position model. Lineage: Bacteria; Bacillati; Bacillota; Bacilli; Caryophanales; Bacillaceae. The record is from RNAcentral.